UACGGAGGGUGCAAGCGUUGUCCGGAUUUAGUGGGUUUAAAGGGUGCGUAGGUGGCUUGUUAAGUCCGGGGUGAAAGCCCACAGCUCAACUGUGGAACUGCCCUGGAUACUGGCGAGCUUGAGUCCAGACGAGGUUGGCGGAAUGGAUGCUGUAGCGGUGAAAUGCAUAGAUAGCAUCCAGAACCCCGAUUGCGUAGGCAGCUGACUAGGCUGGUACUGACACUGAGGCACGAAAGCGUGGGGAGCGAACAGG
Molecule: ribosomal RNA, 253 nt
Filed under: uncultured bacterium
Lineage: Bacteria
Description: partial 16S ribosomal RNA
Rfam family: Bacterial small subunit ribosomal RNA
Source: RNAcentral